Molecule: long non-coding RNA, 249 nt
Filed under: Monodelphis domestica (gray short-tailed opossum)
Lineage: Eukaryota; Metazoa; Chordata; Mammalia; Didelphimorphia; Didelphidae
Description: lncRNA (ENSMODG00000042715.1)
Source: RNAcentral
GGGGCUGCUGACCUGCAAGUCUGCCUUUGGGGGCAGGUGAUUUCCAUGGCAUCUGCAGGAAAGUUGAACAACUGUCAACAAAUUUAAAUUUGUCAUUUCUAAGCUGAUGGAAGAGAAAGAGAAUCCUGGUAGAAGAGGCCUUUAAAGAAUCUGGUCUAACCCCUAAAAAUCAACUAGGUCAUGGAAGAGAAAGACAGAACAAAUGCUUUCUUCUCUCUAGUAGAAAAGAAGUAAUUGAAAAAGAACAGA